GCAGGCAGAUCCAAUUUUCUGCCACCGAAUACAUUAGCAUGGGAUAAUGGAAUAGGACCCUGUCCUCCUAUUUUCAGUUGGUUUUGGCAGCGCGAGGACUAGGGUAAUGAUUAAUAGGGAUAGUUGGGGGCAUUAAUAUUUAAUUGUCAGAGGUGAAAUUCUUGGAUUUAUGAAAGAUUAACUUCUGCGAAAGCAUCUGCCAAGGAUGUUUUCAUUAAUCAAGAACGAAAGUUAGGGGAUCGAAGACGAUCAGAUACCGUCGUAGUCUUAACCAUAAACGAUGCCGACCAGCGAUUAGGAGACGUUGAAUACAAAACACCACCAUCGGUUGCGGUCGUCCUUGGCGUCUCGGUUUCGGCCGGGGCGCGGGGAUGGCCUUAGCCC
RNAcentral lists this ribosomal RNA (384 nucleotides) under Acanthamoeba castellanii. RNAcentral's name for it is "SSU rRNA". It matches the Rfam family "Eukaryotic small subunit ribosomal RNA", at positions 780 to 1116 of the family's 1831-position model. The record is from RNAcentral. Lineage: Eukaryota; Discosea; Longamoebia; Acanthamoebidae.